Molecule: long non-coding RNA, 424 nt
Organism: Oncorhynchus keta (chum salmon)
Lineage: Eukaryota; Metazoa; Chordata; Actinopteri; Salmoniformes; Salmonidae
Exons: 3
Source: RefSeq, a predicted model, not a curated record
CGGGGCUACAACGACAAUGUGAACUAUUGGGGGUACUUGAGGACCAGAGUUAGGAAACACUGUAUUAUAGAAACAAACUUUCAGUUUACUGAGGUCACAUGAGAGAUGCUGCUGUGAUCAUCAGUGUAUUUAGACUCCAGCAGAGUCCCACACUCUUCACUGCUGCUCAACUUCAUUAUUGUCCUUUUCGCUCCACUUCUCAACCUAAUUCCCAUAGCUGGGAGCACGCUAGCUGAGAGACCCCGAGCAUCCAAUGAUGGAACAUAAGUCUUGGGAGUGAAGAGCUGGAAGAUGGACAGAAGAUGUGUGAAGUGCCACGUUGUGCAACACCUUUAGGUUUUAUGAAACCUUUCUUUGCGUGAAUGUCAUGUUAGCAGUGGCGACCGGUCAUUCAGGGCAGGUGAGGUGCCACUGCAUUGUUUGC